ACCCGCUGAACUUAAGCAUAUCAAUAAGCGGAGGAAAAGAAACCAACAGGGAUUGCCCUAGUAACGGCGAGUGAAGCGGCAACAGCUCAAAUUUGAAAUCUGGCUCUUUUAGAGUCCGAGUUGUAAUUUGCAGAGGGCGCUUUGGCUUUGGCAGCGGUCCAAGUUCCUUGGAACAGGACGUCACAGAGGGUGAGAAUCCCGUACGUGGUCGCUGGCUAUUGCCGUGUAAAGCCCCUUCGACGAGUCGAGUUGUUUGGGAAUGCAGCUCUAAAUGGGAGGUACAUUUCUUCUAAAGCUAAAUAUUGGCCAGAGACCGAUAGCGCACAAGUAGAGUGAUCGAAAGAUGAAAAGCACUUUGGAAAGAGAGUCAAACAGCACGUGAAAUUGUUGAAAGGGAAGCGCUUGCAGCCAGACUUGCUUACAGUUGCUCAUCCGGGCUUUUGCCCGGUGCACUCUUCUGUAGGCAGGCCAGCAUCAGUUUGGGCGGUAGGAUAAAGGUCUCUGUCACGUACCUCUCUUCGGGGAGGCCUUAUAGGGGAGACGACAUACUACCAGCCUGGACUGAGGUCGCGCAUCUGCUAGGAUGCUGGCGUAAUGGCUGU
RNAcentral lists this ribosomal RNA (602 nucleotides) under uncultured fungus. RNAcentral describes it as "eukaryotic LSU rRNA". It matches the Rfam family "Eukaryotic large subunit ribosomal RNA", at positions 23 to 641 of the family's 3401-position model. The record is from RNAcentral. Lineage: Eukaryota; Fungi.